CAGCCAUGCCGCGUGAGUGAUGAAGGCCUUAGGGUCGUAAAGCUCUUUCGCCUGUGAUGAUAAUGACAGUAGCAGGUAAAGAAACCCCGGCUAACUCCGUGCCAGCAGCCGCGGUAAUACGGAGGGGGUUAGCGUUGUUCGGAAUUACUGGGCGUAAAGCGCGCGUAGGCGGAUUAGUCAGUUAGAGGUGAAAUCCCAGGGCUCAACCCUGGAACUGCCUUUAAUACUGCUAGUCUUGAGUUCGAGAGAGGUGAGUGGAAUUCCGAGUGUAGAGGUGAAAUUCGUAGAUAUUCGGAGGAACACCAGUGGCGAAGGCGGCUCACUGGCUCGAUACUGACGCUGAGGUGCGAAAGUGUGGGGAGCAAACAGGAUUAGAUACCCUGGUAGUCCACACCGUAAACGAUGAAUGCCAGUCGUCGGCAAGCAUGCUUGUCGGUGA
Molecule: ribosomal RNA, 439 nt
Filed under: Nautella sp. 8Bf2S28
Lineage: Bacteria; Pseudomonadati; Pseudomonadota; Alphaproteobacteria; Rhodobacterales; Roseobacteraceae
Description: bacterial SSU rRNA
Rfam family: Bacterial small subunit ribosomal RNA
Source: RNAcentral